RNAcentral lists this ribosomal RNA (442 nucleotides) under Rhodococcus erythropolis. RNAcentral's name for it is "bacterial SSU rRNA". It matches the Rfam family "Bacterial small subunit ribosomal RNA", at positions 339 to 778 of the family's 1533-position model. The record is from RNAcentral. Lineage: Bacteria; Bacillati; Actinomycetota; Actinomycetes; Mycobacteriales; Nocardiaceae.
CUACGGGAGGCAGCAGUAAGGAAUAUUGGUCAAUGGAGGGAACUCUGAACCAGCCAUGCCGCGUGCAGGAUGACUGCCCUAUGGGUUGUAAACUGCUUUUGUCAGGGAAUAAACCUUUCUACGUGUAGGAAGCUGAAUGUACCUGAAGAAUAAGGAUCGGCUAACUCCGUGCCAGCAGCCGCGGUAAUACGGAGGAUCCAAGCGUUAUCCGGAUUUAUUGGGUUUAAAGGGUGCGUAGGCGGUCCUAUAAGUCAGUGGUGAAAGACGGCAGCUUAACUGUCGCAGUGCCUUUGAUACUGUAGGACUUGAAUCUAUUUGAAGUGGGCGGAAUGAGACAAGUAGCGGUGAAAUGCAUAGAUAUGUCUUAGAACUCCGAUUGCGAAGGCAGCUCACUAAGUUAGUAUUGACGCUGAUGCACGAAAGCGUGGGGAUCAAACAGGAU